Long non-coding RNA from Sander lucioperca (pikeperch), 581 nucleotides. RefSeq lists it as uncharacterized. The record is from RefSeq and is a predicted model, not a curated record. Lineage: Eukaryota; Metazoa; Chordata; Actinopteri; Perciformes; Percidae. The transcript has 4 exons.
GCUUUACAUGGGCUCUGCGGCAUAGUCCAUCGCAGGGUUAACACUGAAACACAAACCCACUCACAUUCUCACACCUAAAGACAACCAAGAGCCUCCAGUUCAUUUACUUGUACAUAUAGCUUAACUUUGUGAAGAAACCUGAACUUCCAUAGGAAGCGUGUGGUGGGAAUGACCCCUCAUACCACUCUAGCAUCUUCCUUUCAGACUAUCAUUCUGGUUCACAGUGAUUUUAAAUUGCCCUUUACUACUCCUGUAUGAAUACACGAAGCUGUUGAAAUCUGUAAGAGAAGCUGUAUGAGCUUUAUCAAACUAAGUCAUACAAACUGUUCCGUCUCAAGAGUUACACUUGCACUCAUUGAUUGUUCAUGUAUUGUCCAAGUCUCUGUAUUGUUGUUUUUAGUUGUCUGUAUCUCUCUAGCCCAUGCUAAUGUCCUGUACAAGUAUUUCUGUCUUCAAGUGCCGUAACUGUGUUCUAUGUUCUAUGUCAGGCCCGUUUUAACUGUAACUUAAUUUUACUUUUAAUCAUUUCCUGUAUAAUAAAUGAAAUGAUGAAAUGAAAAAAAAGUCGCUCUGCAAACAUC